GUAGCCGGGAUGACAGGUGCACACCACCAUGCCCAGCUAAUUUUUUAUUUUUUGUAGAAAUGGGCAAGGGGAGUCUCACCAUCUUACCCAGGCUGGUCUCAAACCCAUGGGCUCAAGCGAUCCUCCUGCCUCAGCCUCCCAAAUUGCUGGGAUUACAGGCGCCUGCCACCAUGCCUGGCUAAUUUUUGUAUUUUUAGUAGAGACGGGGUUUCACCAUGUUGGCCAGGCUGGUCUCGAACUCCUGACCUCAGGUGAUCUACCUGCCUCGGCCUCCCAAAGUGCUGGGAUUACAGGCAUGAGCUCCUGUGCCCAGCUAAUUUUUGUA
RNAcentral lists this long non-coding RNA (325 nucleotides) under Homo sapiens (human). RNAcentral's name for it is "HSALNT0395707". The record is from RNAcentral. Lineage: Eukaryota; Metazoa; Chordata; Mammalia; Primates; Hominidae.